ACGAUGAAGCCGGAGCUUGCUCUGGUGGAUUAGUGGCGAAGGGGAGGGUAACACGUGAGUAACCUGCCCUUGACUCUGGAAUAAGCGUUGGAAACGACGUCUAAUACUGGAUACGAGCUUCAGCCGCAUGGCUAGGAGCUGGAAAGAAUUUCGGUCAAGGAUGGACUCGCGGCCUAUCAGGUAGUUGGUGAGGUAAUGGCUCACCAAGCCUACGACGGGUAGCCGGCCUGAGAGGGUGACCGGCCACCCUGGAACUGAAACACGGUCCAGACUCCUACGGGAGGCAGCAGUGGGGAAUAUUGCACAAUGGGCGAAAGCCUGAUGCAUCAACGCCGCGUGAGGGACGACGGCCUUCGGGUUGUAAACCUCUUUUAGUAGGGAAGAAGCGAAAGUGACGGUACCUGCAGAAAAAGCACCGGCUAACUACGUGCCAGCAGCCGCGGUAAUACGUAGGGUGCAAGCGUUAUCCGGAAUUAUUGGGCGUAAAGAGCUCGUAGGCGGUUUGUCGCGUCUGCUGAGAAAACUGGAGGCUCAACCUCCAGCCUGCAGUGGGUACGGGCAGACUACAGUGCGGUAUGGGAGAUUGGAAUUCCUGGUGUAGCGGUGGAAUGCGCAGAUAUCAGGAGGAACACCAAUGGCGAAAGCAUAUC
RNAcentral lists this ribosomal RNA (650 nucleotides) under Salinibacterium sp. BS-9. RNAcentral describes it as "bacterial SSU rRNA". It matches the Rfam family "Bacterial small subunit ribosomal RNA", at positions 66 to 727 of the family's 1533-position model. Lineage: Bacteria; Bacillati; Actinomycetota; Actinomycetes; Micrococcales; Microbacteriaceae. The record is from RNAcentral.